UUGGAGGGCAAGUCUGGUGCCAGCAGCCGCGGUAAUUCCAGCUCCAAUAGCGUAUAUUAAAGUUGUUGCAGUUAAAAAGCUCGUAGUUGAAUUUCGGGAUUGACGUGAUGGUCAUGCCUUAAGGGGUAUGAACUGUCACUGUUGAUUUCUCACCUUCUGGAGAAACUUGAUGUCCUUUAUUGGGUGUCUUGCGGAUCCAGGACCUUUACCUUGAAAAAAUUAGAGUGUUUAAAGCAGGCGUUUUUGCUCGAAUACAUUAGCAUGGAAUAAUAGAAUAGGACGGCAUGGUUCUAUUUUGUUGGUUUCUAGGAUCACCGUAAUGAUUAAUAGGGAUAGUUGGGGGCAUUAGUAUUCAAUUGUCAGAGUUGAAAUUCUUGGAUUUAUUGAAGACUAACUACUGCGAAAGCAUUUGCCAAGGAUGUUUUCAUUAAUCAAGAACGAAAGUUAGGGGAUCGAAGACGAUCAGAUACCGUCGUAGUCUUAACCAUAAACUAUGCCGACUAGGAAUCAGACGAUGUUAAUUUUUUAAUGACUCGUUUGGCACCUUACGGGAAACCAAAGUGUUUGGGUUC
Molecule: ribosomal RNA, 572 nt
Filed under: uncultured Glomeromycotina
Lineage: Eukaryota; Fungi; Glomeromycota
Description: SSU rRNA
Rfam family: Eukaryotic small subunit ribosomal RNA
Source: RNAcentral